AUGUUUAAACAUAGAAAUGGAAACUCCUUGGAAUCGCUGAAGACAACAAACAGAAAAUAUUUCUAUACAAUCAAAUUCUACCGGGAGACAGUUGUAAAUCAAUGUAUUGACCAGCCAAACACAUUUUGCAAAUUCGACAAUGCCACUCAGAUUUUCACCAUACUUUCGGUUCAGAUGGAUGCAAGAAACCGUAGCACCCUUCUAGGCCAGAGCCUGUACAAAACUGCAACGGUCCAUGAUGCAUCACAUGAUUCCAAUUUCUUCCAGCGCAGAGCAGCUUGCCCCCCACCAGAUCCAUGA
Molecule: ribosomal RNA, 300 nt
Filed under: Triticum aestivum (bread wheat)
Lineage: Eukaryota; Viridiplantae; Streptophyta; Magnoliopsida; Poales; Poaceae
Description: partial small subunit ribosomal RNA
Source: RNAcentral